Acipenser ruthenus (sterlet) is the source of this 212-nucleotide long non-coding RNA. RefSeq lists it as uncharacterized. Lineage: Eukaryota; Metazoa; Chordata; Actinopteri; Acipenseriformes; Acipenseridae. The transcript is spliced from 3 exons. The record is from RefSeq and is a predicted model, not a curated record.
AGUAAAGGGUUUUUUCUUUCUUGAGCCUGCAUAACUGACUCCUCAACCAGCAUGUCCGUCUUUUGAUUCAGUUUGAAAACCAGCACAGUACCCGUACAGACCCAACACCACUAAGGCAUAGAUACGGAACUACUUCAAGACAUACGAGGACAUGGCCACAGACACUGUGUUCAGCAGCUCUUGAAAAAGCUCCUGCACGUUGUAGUUCAUUU